Molecule: ribosomal RNA, 235 nt
Filed under: uncultured bacterium
Lineage: Bacteria
Description: partial 16S ribosomal RNA
Rfam family: Bacterial small subunit ribosomal RNA
Source: RNAcentral
ACGAACGCUGGCGGCAGGCCUAACACAUGCAAGUCGAACGCCGUAGCGAUACGGAGUGGCAGACGGGUGAGUAACGCGUGGGAACAUACCCCUCGGUUCGGAAUAACUCAGGGAAACUUGAGCUAAUACCGGAUAAGUCCGAGGUUUUAAUCGACCUUGGAGAAAGAUUUAUCGCCGGAGGAUUGGCCCGCGUCUGAUUAGCUUGUUGGUGAGGUAAUGGCUCACCAAGGCGACG